Molecule: ribosomal RNA, 631 nt
Filed under: Gelatoporia subvermispora
Lineage: Eukaryota; Fungi; Basidiomycota; Agaricomycetes; Polyporales; Gelatoporiaceae
Description: eukaryotic LSU rRNA
Rfam family: 5.8S ribosomal RNA (bases 237-390)
Source: RNAcentral
AAAAGUCGUAACAAGGUUUCCGUAGGUGAACCUGCGGAAGGAUCAUUAUCGAGUUGAAAGGGGUUGUAGCUGGCCUUUUACGAGGCAUGUGCACACCCCACUCAUCCACUCAACACCUGUGCACACUAUGUAGGUUUAGAUGAGCAUCGGGGCUUCGGCUUCGGUGGGAGUCUGACCUAUGUCUUUAUAAACUCUGUUUAGUAAAUGAAUGUAAUUGCGAUAAACGCAUUUUAUACAACUUUCAGCAACGGAUCUCUUGGCUCUCGCAUCGAUGAAGAACGCAGCGAAAUGCGAUAAGUAAUGUGAAUUGCAGAAUUCAGUGAAUCAUCGAAUCUUUGAACGCACCUUGCGCCCCUUGGUAUUCCGAGGGGCACACCUGUUUGAGUGUCGUGAAAUUCUCAACUCAAAUACCUUUGCUGGUGUUUGAGCUUGGAUUUGGGGGUUUUGCUGGCUUGUGUCGGCUCCCCUUGAAUGUAUUAGCUCGGACCCUUGCGGAUCAGCUAUCGGUGUGAUAAUUGUCUACGCCGUGGUUGUGAUGCCACCUUUUAGGUGUUGAGGGAUCGGCUUCCAAUCGUCCCUUGGGACAAUUAUUUUGAAAUCUGACCUCAAAUCAGGUGGGACUACCCGCUGA